Molecule: long non-coding RNA, 1276 nt
Organism: Patiria miniata (bat star)
Lineage: Eukaryota; Metazoa; Echinodermata; Asteroidea; Valvatida; Asterinidae
Exons: 2
Source: RefSeq, a predicted model, not a curated record
UCCCCAUUACUGUGGCAGACAUCUUGGGGACAAGAUUACUCAAGUUUGCGGUUGGCACUUAGAAGCUUGGGAUGACGUCCACCCAGCGUUUGUGGAAUCCGAUGAGGCCAAUAGUUUCUUGGCCGACCGCCGAAUCUCAAAGCGAAGCCUUGGCGAAGAAUGCUGCCACGAGGGAUGCUCCAAUGAGGAAGUACGCGAACACUGCUAAAGAAAACACCAGGGCGGAUCCGGAACGGACUGACUUCGCGAUACCCGAAAAUUAUACAUUUUCUUUGUUUUUUUUGCUCGCUUAUUACAAUUCAAGCGGUGUUUUUGUUCUCUAUUUAAAAUAUAUUCUACAUAAUUUUACUCACACCAUAAUUUGCCGCAUGAGAUUACAAACAACAUAAGAAACAACCAAUAUAGAUUGGUUGUUUCGUACACAUUUACACAUUAAAACACAGUUAAGGAAAAUAAAUUAAAGUCUUUGGCUACACGUUCUUUCAUCGGUUGAAGAAACUCUAAGCAACUUCACUUGAUUGAGAUUUGACAUUAAACAAAAACAGUUAAGUUUACUUGAGGAGGAUAUCAGUGAGUGUGAACUUUUUUUAAACGAAUUGUCAGAGAAAACUUUAAGAUCGUAAAAGCUGUUUUAUCACCAUAGCAUUUGCAGUGAUUUAAUUUGUAAUUUCGUGACCCCACAUUCAACACAAGCCAUCGACGUAAAUUGUGCCCAUUACCUUCCGGGACAUGUUUUUUUUUUCGUUUAUAAAAGCUAAAAAGAAGAUAAUCACUUACCAUCUGGGAAGUUCUUGGCGUCUUUUAAAAGGACCACACCAGCGAGUAAAUAAUACUUUUUCUUUGGUGGUAAGUUUUCUGUCAUUUUGAAGAUCAUAAAUUAUGUCUGGUUAGUGUUUAAAGAACAAAUGGGUAAAUCUGUACGGGUUGCAGGGAUCGAACGAACGGUCUCACCAAAGUUUUGAAAUCUUAAUAAAAAACAAUAUGUUAAAGUUUCUCAAAUAUUGAAAUUGAUAAGUUCGAAGUUGACACAGUUUGGAGGUUUGCAGAGUGUUUGAGAACAUAUACUUUGGAAGUUUUCACAAGGAUGUAGUUGUCAUGUGAACUUAAGUUACGCCUGAUUUACGUACUCGGUGUGUUGGAUUUCUAUACAUUAUUAAGACUUUUUGUUUUCCGACUUCUUCCAUUCUGUUUCACAGUUUCGUUUCUGCUGUAAUUGCCGUAUCAAUUAAGUCUUAAUUUCGGUUGGAGACUACAUUAACAAGUUACUUCAAAAACA